This 440-nucleotide ribosomal RNA is filed under the name uncultured bacterium. Its description in RNAcentral is "partial 16S ribosomal RNA". It matches the Rfam family "Bacterial small subunit ribosomal RNA", at positions 338 to 795 of the family's 1533-position model. The record is from RNAcentral.
CCUACGGGAGGCAGCAGUGGGGGAUAUUGCACAAUGGGGGAAACCCUGAUGCAGCGACGCCGCGUGUGGGAAGACGGUCCUCUGGAUUGUAAACCACUGUCCCCAGGGACGAAGAUGACGGUACCUGGGGAGGAAGCUCCGGCUAACUACGUGCCAGCAGCCGCGGUAAUACGUAGGGAGCGAGCGUUGUCCGGAAUUACUGGGUGUAAAGGGAGCGUAGGCGGGACUGCAAGUUGGGUGUCAAAUCUACCGGCUCAACCGGUAGCCGCACUCAAAACUGCAGUUCUUGAGUGAAGUAGAGGCAGGCGGAAUUCCUAGUGUAGCGGUGAAAUGCGGAGAUAUUAGGAGGAAUACCAGUGGCGAAGGCGGCCUGCUGGGCUUUUACUGACGCUGAGGCUCGAAAGUGUGGGGAGCAAACAGGAGUAGAUACCCUUGUAGUC